UACGGAGGGCGCAAGCGUUGUUCGGAUUCACUGGGCAUAAAGAGCAUGUAGGCGGCCUACCCAGUCGGAUGUGAAAGCCCACGGCCCAACCGUGGAACUGCAUUCGAUACUAGUAGGCUCGAGAUCGGAAGGGGUGAGUGGAACUCCAGGUGGAACGGUGAAAUGUGUAGAUAUCUGGAGGAACACCGGUGGCGAAAGCGGCUCACUGGUCCGAUUCUGACGCUGAGAUGCGAAAGCUAGGGUAGCGAACGGG
RNAcentral lists this ribosomal RNA (253 nucleotides) under uncultured bacterium. RNAcentral describes it as "partial 16S ribosomal RNA". It matches the Rfam family "Bacterial small subunit ribosomal RNA", at positions 524 to 776 of the family's 1533-position model. The record is from RNAcentral.